This 497-nucleotide ribosomal RNA is filed under the name uncultured bacterium. Its description in RNAcentral is "partial 16S ribosomal RNA". It matches the Rfam family "Bacterial small subunit ribosomal RNA", at positions 28 to 507 of the family's 1533-position model. The record is from RNAcentral.
GAUGAACGCUGGCGGCGUGCCUAAUACAUGCAAGUCGAGCGAACAGACGAGGAGCUUGCUCCUCUGACGUUAGCGGCGGACGGGUGAGUAACACGUGGAUAACCUACCUAUAAGACUGGGAUAACUUCGGGAAACCGGAGCUAAUACCGGAUAAUAUAUUGAACCGCAUGGUUCAAUAGUGAAAGACGGUUUUGCUGUCACUUAUAGAUGGAUCCGCGCCGCAUUAGCUAGUUGGUAAGGUAACGGCUUACCAAGGCAACGAAGCGUAGCCGACCUGAGAGGGUGAUCGGCCACACUGGAGCUGAGACGCGGUCCAGACUCCUACGGGAGGCAGCAGUAGGGAAUCUGCCGCAAUGGGCGAAAGCCUGACGGAGCAACGCCGCGUGAGUGAUGAAGGUCUUCGGAUCGUAAAACUCUGUUAUUAGGGAAGAACAAAUGUGUAAGUAACUAUGCACGUCUUGACGGUACCUAAUCAGAAAGCCACGGCUAACUACGUG